GUAGGUGGCAAGCGUUGUCCGGAAUUAUUGGGCGUAAAGCGCGCGCAGGCGGUCCUUUAAGUCUGAUGUGAAAGCCCACGGGCUCAACCGUGAGGGUCAUUGGAAACUGGGGACUUGAGUACAGAAGAGGAAAGCGGAAUUCCAAGUGUAGCGGUGAAAUGCGUAGAGAUUUGGAGGAACACCAGUGGCGAAGGCGGCUUUCUGGUCUGUAACUGACGCUGAGGCGCGAAAGCGUGGGGAGCAAACAGGAUUAGAUACCCUGGUAGUCCACGCCGUAAACGAUGAGUGCUAAGUGUUAGGGGGUUUCCGCCCCGUUAGUGCUGCAGCUAACGCAUUAAGCACUCCGCCUGGGGAGUACGGCCGCAAAGGCUG
RNAcentral lists this ribosomal RNA (372 nucleotides) under uncultured organism. Its description in RNAcentral is "partial 16S ribosomal RNA". It matches the Rfam family "Bacterial small subunit ribosomal RNA", at positions 527 to 896 of the family's 1533-position model. The record is from RNAcentral.